Molecule: non-coding RNA, 606 nt
Organism: Vidua chalybeata
Lineage: Eukaryota; Metazoa; Chordata; Aves; Passeriformes; Viduidae
Source: the annotation of a RefSeq genome assembly
UUUCGGACUCUUCCGCACUCAGCAAACACGCAGCUUGCUCUCGGCAUGCACCUCGCAUAUCUCAUCCUCACCGUCUUCCUGGCCCAGCUCCUGGGAGCGGCUGCAGACACAGACCAAGUGCAACAGAGGCCGUGGGCAGAGACCAUCGAGGGCACCGGCCUGAACAUCACUUGCCAGCACCCCAAAAUUGCUGCCGACGCUACCCACUGGUAUCGUCAAUUCCCAGACCAAGCACCCCAGCUGGUAGCAACAGCUAUCCGAGGCACAAAACCCGUAAUGGAGCCAGAGGGGAGCCUGUCGGUGUCGGCAGAUCGGCGUUCGAGUGCGCUGUGGCUCGGGCGGCCCCGGCGCGGGGACGCGGCCGUGUAUUACUGCGCGCUGGGAGCCACGGGCAGAGGAGCCGGGGCUGCGGCCGGGCACGAACCGCCGCGGGCGGGGCCGGCCGGGAGACCCGAGCGCCGCCCCACUCCCAGCGCGCUCGCCUCCCCUCCGUUCCCGGCCAGGAGUCGGCGAGAGCCCGAGCAGCGCCGGCGCAGGGCUGUGCCCCGGGGCGGAGCUGGCGGCGUUGCAGAGGAGGCGGCACGGGCGCAGCAGAGCCGGGGCUGA